ACCGUUGCAAAAUCAACGGCAGGGCGUGAGAACCCUGAACUACAUAAUACGGCGAACAGUAGCACGCCUUUAACCCGUGCUAUUUUU
Molecule: small RNA, 87 nt
Filed under: Mannheimia haemolytica
Lineage: Bacteria; Pseudomonadati; Pseudomonadota; Gammaproteobacteria; Pasteurellales; Pasteurellaceae
Description: isrK
Source: RNAcentral